Acanthopagrus latus (yellowfin seabream) is the source of this 636-nucleotide long non-coding RNA. RefSeq lists it as uncharacterized. Lineage: Eukaryota; Metazoa; Chordata; Actinopteri; Spariformes; Sparidae. The transcript has 3 exons. The record is from RefSeq and is a predicted model, not a curated record.
UUGUUUUCUGUAUGCUCCUGUUCCAUGCUCCUGUUUGUUCUGUUUGCAAAGUGCUCUUCCAGUUUAACCUCAUUGCUCACUUGUUCCCUCACCAUGCUGGGCAUAACAUCAAUCAGCGCGUUUUGGAUCUCAUUAUGCAGGCAUGGUGGAAAAAAUGUCGACAGGCAUAGCAAAAAGCCGCAUCAACUUUCCAGCCACAAGUACUGUUUGAACCACAAGUGGCUGAAAGUCCUCAGUGUUAGCUGGGAUCCAAAUGUCCGACGCGGGUAUGAAAUAAGUUGAGGCUGCCUCGGUCUCUCUGCUGGGUCUUGACUUGACUCUUGACAGGGCCACCAGGAUUCCCACCACCCAUCAUCGCAGUUACAGCGCUCGGCGAAGUGGUCCCUUGACUCCCCGCUUCUUGCUGCACAUUUUCGGGAAUGUUACCGAGUCUUGUGUUAAUGACCGUGCCGCCGCUGAUGCUGCUGGACCCGACGCCUCUACUAUUACCACCCCUUCUUCAUCCUCGCUUUCAUCCUAAUUCUCCAGGACUGUCAUCACUCUGUCCUGCCUCCGUAGAUCACCAUCAUCCACUCUCAUUUGUUUUGUGGCUAUUACAAACCAGUCCAUUUCCCGUUUUUUUUCAAAAUCUGUGAA